Molecule: unclassified non-coding RNA, 2394 nt
Filed under: Diuraphis noxia (Russian wheat aphid)
Lineage: Eukaryota; Metazoa; Arthropoda; Insecta; Hemiptera; Aphididae
Description: protein goliath, transcript variant X2
Source: RNAcentral
ACCCCGUCACGCCGCCGCCAGCGUCAGUGCAGUGGGGCCCGAUAACAGGACGUCAGUCAGUAGUGUGCGAGACACGCGCCGUGGUCCAUCGUUUCGCCCGCGCUUCAGGCGAACACUAUUCGAUCUCGAUUUAGUCGUGUAGUCGUAUAGAACAGCUACAGCGAAAUUCACACGGUGGCGAAGUUGCGUAGUUAUCUCACGAUAUUAGACGCAAAAACAAAUCGGUACCGCCGACAUCCGUCCCGGGCAGCCGCCUCCACAGCAGCAGCGGAAUGCCCGUCGGUCGUCUUUCAGCCAAGGAAAGUCGUCGUCGGUUCGCGGUGAAAACGCACACAGAGCCUGAGCAGGCCAGUUCGAUCGAUCGGUUUCACGACGACGACAGUAUUACCGUCGCGUCCGCGGCGAUGUAGUAUACACAAUACCUACCCGGUCGUCGGUCAGAUUUUCGUUUUACCACCCUGCCCAUACCCAUCNCCAUUACAGUCUUACNUCUUACCCCGUUUCCGAGCAAAUAAAAUUAAUACAGUCGGUGGAAAAAUAUCGAUUUUCGUUUGGCCGCUUUAAAUAAAGAAAACAACCGCGCGUAUAUUAAGUACAAUAUUACCUAAACGAAUUGUCGUGUCAUAUAUUGUAGGCGAUCGAAUUUGAAACGUCGUCCACGACGGCGGACACCACCAUCCGCCUCGCAAUGCACGCGAUGCUGGCCGUGUGGACGUUACUCGGCGUUGCCGCGUCGUCGGACCCGUGGCCGGCCGCCGCGUCCACCGUCGAUGAGACAGCCGACUCUUACACGACCGCGUACCUGAACGUGACCAGCUACGAUGUGGCCACGGGCGUCGUGGUCCAGACGGAAAAAUCGGAGAUCGGCAAGUUCGGCGAGUAUCACGUGGGAGCCGCGUCCGGGAUGCUGUUGCACGUGAUCGGCACGGACGGUGACCGAAACGGGUGCGCGCCACCCGUCCACGGCGUCCGAGAACCUCCGGACGCCGGGCCCUGGAUAGCGCUGGUGCGCAGGGGCAAGUGCAGUUUCCAGACCAAAGUGGAUAACGCGCGACGGGCCGGCGCCUCGGCCGUGAUCGUCUACAAUGACCGCGAAGCCACCGACCUCGACAAAAUGAAGCUACUGCCUUCCGACCCCAGAAAUGUCAGUGCAAUUUUCACGUAUAAAUGGAAAGGCGAGGACAUGGCUCGAAUGCUAGACGACAUGACCAGAAGGGUGAUGGUGAAAAUCACAAUUGCCAGUCAUUGCACCAGACCAUACGGUAACAUUAACAGGACUUCCGUAUUAUUUGUAAGCAUAUCAUUCAUAGUGCUUAUGGUCAUAUCUUUGGCAUGGCUUGUAUUCUACUACAUACAAAGGUUCCGGUAUAUACACGCUAAAGACCAAUUAUCGAGACGAUUAUGCAACGCAGCCAAAAAAGCGUUGUCCAAGAUACCUACCAAGCACAUCAAAAUGGAUGACAAGGAGAUCGUUGGUGAUGGGGACUGUUGUGCAGUGUGUAUUGAACCAUACAAACCGUCCGAGGUAGUUCGAAUACUACCAUGCCGACAUGAAUUCCACAAAAGCUGUGUAGAUCCUUGGCUGUUAGAGCACCGAACUUGCCCAAUGUGCAAAAUGGACAUACUAAAGCACUAUGGGUUCUUGUUCACAGGCAGUCAAGAGAGUUUCCUGCACGUGGAAGUCGAAGAGGUGACCAACGAUUUCGACGUGUACCAGUACGCACGUGGUCGAAGUUUCAUGGACACGGCGCAAAACUCGAGAACGAUACCGGACGUAGCUGCGGUGGCAGUGGCGGCAACGGUCGUGUGCGAGUCGCCCGACAGUAGGUCGUCGACGCCCGACGAACUGACGCCCGCGCUGGCUCAACGCAACGACGGCGGCGGCGGUGGCGGUGGCAGUCGUGGCGACGACCGUAUUACAGACGUCGCCACCAACUGCACAACGGUCGCCGCCGGCACCAACCGAUCGACGUCAUUCGAAGAGCAGCCUCCGGUUCACUCUGUUAGCGUACCUGCAACAGCUAAGUAGUCUGACGACGGCCGACGCACUCACAAUCGCGACUGUAUUUUAUUGAAUAACUAUAUAUUUGUUAUUUUUAUAAUAUACACCUCUUCCGCAAGAUCAUUUCCGGAUAGCUAGCGUGUGUUUGUGUGCGUGUGUGCGUGGCAUAUACCACAGGAAUCCAAAACAAUAAUCGACUCUGAUUGGUGGCACAGCCGACUAAGUCCACUGCGACAGACGCGUUCUUCAGAUGGUUUCUGAAACAUCAAAACGACAAUUCAGGACGGAUGUGAUACUAGCCAUUAAGAUGACUUAAACUUUGUAAUAGAAUGUAUCUUCUGUUCAAGUCUUAUUAUUAUAUUAUAGAGAUUAGGAUUAGGUACAAAAAAAAA